GUCUAUAGCCAUACCACCCUGAACAUGCCCAAUCUUGUCUGAUCUCAGAAGCUAAGCAGGGUCAGGCCUGGUUAGUACUUGGAUGGGAGACAAAAUGCUGAGAUUACAGGGGUGAGCCA
RNAcentral lists this ribosomal RNA (119 nucleotides) under Aotus nancymaae (Ma's night monkey). The record is from RNAcentral. Lineage: Eukaryota; Metazoa; Chordata; Mammalia; Primates; Aotidae.